RNAcentral lists this ribosomal RNA (204 nucleotides) under Blautia sp. AM46-3MH. RNAcentral's name for it is "partial 16S ribosomal RNA". It matches the Rfam family "Bacterial small subunit ribosomal RNA", at positions 1338 to 1533 of the family's 1533-position model. The record is from RNAcentral. Lineage: Bacteria; Bacillati; Bacillota; Clostridia; Lachnospirales; Lachnospiraceae.
GUAAUCGCAGGUCAGCAUACUGCGGUGAAUACGUUCCCGGGUCUUGUACACACCGCCCGUCACACCAUGGGAGUCAGUAACACCCGAAGCCGGUGACCUAACCGAAAGGAAGGAGCCGUCGAAGGUGGGACCGAUAACUGGGGUGAAGUCGUAACAAGGUAGCCGUAUCGGAAGGUGCGGCUGGAUCACCUCCUUUCUAAGGAA